Molecule: ribosomal RNA, 450 nt
Filed under: uncultured bacterium
Lineage: Bacteria
Description: bacterial SSU rRNA
Rfam family: Bacterial small subunit ribosomal RNA
Source: RNAcentral
GGACCAGACUCCUACGGGAGGCAGCAGUGGGGAAUAUUGGGCAAUGGGCGCAAGCCUGACCCAGCAACGCCGCGUGAAGGAAGAAGGCUUUCGGGUUGUAAACUUCUUUUAAGAGGGAAGAGCAGAAGACGGUACCUCUUGAAUAAGCCACGGCUAACUACGUGCCAGCAGCCGCGGUAAUACGUAGGUGGCAAGCGUUGUCCGGAUUUACUGGGUGUAAAGGGCGUGCAGCCGGGAAGACAAGUCAGAUGUGAAAUCCCGCGGCUCAACCGCGGGACUGCAUUUGGAACUGUAAGGCUAGAGUGUCGGAGAGGCGGGCGGAAUUCCUAGUGUAGCGGUGAAAUGCGUAGAUAUUAGGAGGAACACCAGUGGCGAAGGCGGCCUGCUGGACGAUGACUGACGUUGAGGCUCGAAAGCGUGGGGAGCAAACAGGAUUAGAUACCCGAGUAA